This 499-nucleotide ribosomal RNA is filed under the name uncultured Bacteroidota bacterium. RNAcentral's name for it is "bacterial SSU rRNA". It matches the Rfam family "Bacterial small subunit ribosomal RNA", at positions 76 to 572 of the family's 1533-position model. The record is from RNAcentral. Lineage: Bacteria; Pseudomonadati; Bacteroidota.
UAGCUUGCUAUUUUGGUGGCGACCGGCGCACGGGUGCGUAACGCGUAUGCAAUCUACCCUAUACUGAGGGAUAGCCCGGAGAAAUUCGGAUUAAUACCUCAUAGUAUUUAUGAAUCGCAUGGUUUAUAAAUUAAAGGUUACGGUAUAGGAUGAGCAUGCGUCCCAUUAGCUAGAUGGUAAGGUAACGGCUUACCAUGGCGACGAUGGGUAGGGGGCCUGAGAGGGUAGUCCCCCACACUGGUACUGAGACACGGACCAGACUCCUACGGGAGGCAGCAGUGAGGAAUAUUGGUCAAUGGGCGCAAGCCUGAACCAGCCAUGCCGCGUGAAGGAAGAAGGAUCUAUGGUUUGUAAACUUCUUUUAUUUAGGAAUAAACUCUCGGACGUGUCCGAGCCUGAAGGUACUAAAUGAAUAAGCACCGGCUAACUCCGUGCCAGCAGCCGCGGUAAUACGGAGGGUGCAAGCGUUAUCCGGAAUCAUUGGGUUUAAAGGGUCCGC